CUCAGUGAAUGGAGAGAGCGAACGCCGGCCAGCUCGCCUGGCCGCCCCGUACCCCGGCCGCCGCCGCCGCACGCCAGAGCCCAGCCCGGAGCCCGACCUCCCCGGGCGCCGUGCCCCACCGCGCUCGCCCCAGCUCCCCGACCCGGCGCGCAGCCCGAGCGGCCCGCACGCGGGCCAAGGGACGCCCGGCACCUGGGCACUUGGAGCGAUGCGCGGCGGGGCACCGCUGGCCCCGCCGAUGGAGCUGCUGCCGCCGCCGCCCGGCGCGCCCUGCUCCGCCCGCGCCCCGUGCGCCUGAGCGCCGCGCUCGCCCCUCCUCCGCGCCAACUCCGCCGCCCGCUCCCAGGCCGCCCGCGCUCCCCGCGCGCCUGCUCGCGCUCCCCGCGUCCUGCCCCGCCGAGGCAGCCUCCUUUGGGCGCGGGCCCCUGCGCACCAUGGCCCCCGGGCGCUCAGGGGCCGGCGCCGCUGUGCGCGCCCGCCUGGCGCUGGCCUUGGCGCUGGCGAGCGUCCUGAGCUGGCCCCCUGCCGUCGCCUGCCCCACCAAGUGUACCUGCUCCGCCGCCAGCGUGGACUGCCACGGUCUGGGCCUACGAGCGGUUCCCCGGGGCAUCCCCCGCAACGCCGAGCGCCUUGACCUGGACAGAAAUAAUAUCACCAGGAUCACCAAGAUGGACUUUGCUGGGCUAAAGAACCUCCGAGUAUUGCAUCUGGAAGACAACCAGGUCAGCAUCAUCGAGAGAGGCGCCUUCCAGGAUCUGAAGCAGCUGGAGCGAUUGCGUCUCAAUAAGAAUAAGCUCCAGGUCCUUCCAGAAUUGCUUUUCCAGAGCACACCGAAGCUCACCAGACUAGAUCUGAGUGAAAACCAGAUCCAGGGGGUCCCGAGGAAGGCGUUCCGCGGCAUCGCCGACGUGAAGAAUCUGCAACUGGAUAACAAUCGCAUCAGCUGCAUUGAAGAUGGAGCCUUCCGAGCGCUGCGCGACCUGGAGAUCCUCACCCUCAAUAACAACAACAUCAGCCGCAUCCUGGUCACGAGCUUCAACCACAUGCCGAAGAUCCGGACUCUGCGUCUUCACUCCAACCACCUGUACUGCGACUGCCACCUGGCCUGGCUCUCGGAUUGGCUGCGCCAGCGGCGGACAAUUGGCCAGUUCACCCUCUGCAUGGCUCCUGUGCACCUGAGGGGCUUCAACGUGGCAGACGUGCAGAAAAAGGAGUACGUGUGUUCAGGUUCCCACUCGGAGGCGCCCUCCUGCACUGCCAACUCCCUCUCCUGCCCUCCCUCCUGCACCUGCAGCAACAACAUCGUGGACUGCCGGGGGAAAGGCCUGACGGAGAUCCCCGCCAACCUGCCCGAGGGCAUCGUGGAGAUACGUCUAGAACAGAAUUCCAUCAGAUCCAUCCCUGCAGGAGCCUUCACCCAGUACAAGAAGCUGAAGCGAAUAGACAUCAGCAAGAAUCAGAUAUCAGACAUCGCUCCAGACGCCUUCCAGGGCCUGAAGUCGCUCACAUCGCUGGUACUAUACGGGAACAAGAUCACUGAGAUUGCCAAGGGACUGUUCGAUGGACUGGUGUCCUUACAGCUGCUCCUCCUCAAUGCCAACAAGAUCAACUGCCUGCGGGUGAACACCUUCCAGGACCUGCAGAACCUAAACCUGCUCUCCCUCUACGACAACAAGCUGCAGACCAUCAGCAAGGGGCUCUUCGCGCCUCUGCAGUCCAUCCAGACACUCCACUUAGCCCAAAACCCGUUUGUGUGCGACUGCCACUUGAAGUGGCUGGCCGAGUACCUCCAGGACAACCCCAUCGAGACGAGCGGGGCCCGCUGCAGCAGCCCGCGCCGGCUGGCCAACAAGCGCAUCGGCCAGACCAAGAGCAAGAAGUUCCGCUGCUCAGGCUCCGAGGAUUACCGCAGCAGGUUGAGCAGCGAGUGCUUCAUGGACCUCGCGUGCCCGGAGAGGUGCCGCUGUGAGGGGACCAUCGUGGACUGUUCCAGCCAGAAGCUGGCCCGCAUCCCGAGCCACCUGCCCGAGCACACCACCGACCUGCGACUGAACGACAAUGAGAUUUCGGUGCUGGAGGCCACGGGGAUCUUCAAGAAGCUGCCCAACCUGCGGAAAAUAAACCUGAGCAACAACAAGAUCAAGGAGGUUCGAGAGGGCGCCUUCGAUGGGGCGGCCGGCGUGCAGGAGCUGAUGCUGACGGGGAACCAGCUGGAGGCCGCGCACGGGCGCAUGUUCCGCGGCCUCAGCGGCCUCAAGACCCUGAUGCUGAGGAGCAACCUGAUCAGCUGCGUGGGCAACGACACCUUCGCAGGCCUGAGUUCUGUGCGGCUGCUGUCCCUCUAUGACAACCGGAUCACCACCAUCACCCCCGGGGCCUUCACCACACUGGUCUCCCUGUCCACCAUAAACCUCCUGUCCAACCCCUUCAACUGCAACUGCCACCUGGCCUGGCUCGGCAGGUGGCUGAGGAAGAGGCGGGUGGUCAGCGGGAACCCCAGGUGCCAGAAGCCCUUCUUCCUCAAGGAGAUCCCCAUCCAGGACGUGGCCAUCCAGGACUUCACCUGUGACGGCAACGAAGAGAGCAGCUGCCUGCUGAGCCCGCGCUGCCCAGAGCAGUGCACCUGCCUGGAGACGGUGGUGCGGUGCAGCAACAAGGGCCUCCGCGCCCUCCCCAAAGGCGUGCCCAAGGACACGACUGAGCUGUACCUGGAAGGAAACCACUUGACAGCUGUGCCCAGGGAGCUGUCUGCCCUCCGACACCUGACGCUCAUUGACCUGAGCAACAACAGCAUCGGCAUGCUGACCAAUUUCACCUUCAGUAACAUGUCCCACCUCUCUACUCUGAUCCUGAGUUACAACCGGCUGAGGUGCAUCCCUGUCCAUGCCUUCGUCGGGCUGAGAUCUCUCCGCGUGCUAACCCUCCAUGGCAACGACAUCUCCACUGUUCCCGAAGGCUCCUUCAAUGACCUGACAUCCCUUUCCCACCUGGCACUGGGAACCAACCCGCUGCACUGUGACUGCAAUCUCCGUUGGUUGUCAGAGUGGGUGAAGGCCGGGUACAAGGAACCCGGCAUCGCCCGCUGCAGCAGCCCCGAGUCCAUGGCUGACAGACUCUUGCUCACCACCCCCACCCACCGGUUCCAGUGCAAAGGUCCAGUGGAUAUCAACAUCGCGGCCAAGUGCAACGCCUGCCUCUCCAGCCCGUGCAAGAACAAUGGCACGUGCAGUCAGGACCCUGUGGAGCAGUACCGCUGCACCUGCCCCUACAGCUACAAGGGCAAGGACUGCACGGUGCCCAUCAACACCUGCAUCCAGAACCCCUGCCAGCACGGAGGCACCUGCCACCUGAGCGAGAGCCACAAGGAGGGAUUCAGCUGCUCCUGCCCUCUGGGCUUCGAGGGGCAGCGCUGCGAGGUCAACCCCGACGACUGCGAGGACAACGACUGCGAGAACAACGCCACCUGCGUGGACGGGGUCAACAACUACGCCUGCGUGUGCCCCCCCAACUUCACAGGUGAGCUGUGUGAUGAGGUGAUUGACCAUUGUGUGCCUGAGAUGAACCUCUGUCAGCACGAGGCCAAGUGCGUCUCCCUGGACAAAGGAUUCAGAUGCGAAUGCGUCCCUGGCUACAGCGGGAAGCUCUGUGAGACAGACAAUGACGACUGCGCAGCUCACAAGUGCCGCCACGGGGCCCAGUGUGUGGAUGCAGUCAAUGGCUACACCUGCAUCUGCCCCCAGGGCUUCAGUGGGCUCUUCUGCGAGCACCCCCCGCCCAUGGUUCUGCUGCAGACCAGCCCCUGUGACCAGUACGAGUGCCAGAACGGAGCCCAGUGCAUUGUGGUGCAGCAGGAGCCCACCUGCCGCUGUCCCCCAGGCUUUGCUGGCCCCAGAUGCGAGAAGCUCAUCACCGUGAACUUCGUGGGCAAAGACUCCUAUGUGGAACUGGCCUCCGCCAAGGUCCGGCCCCAGGCCAACAUCUCCCUGCAGGUGGCCACGGACAAGGACAACGGCAUCCUUCUCUACAAGGGAGACAACGAUCCCCUGGCGCUGGAGCUGUACCAGGGCCACGUGAGGCUGGUGUAUGACAGCCUGAGCUCCCCGCCCACCACGGUGUACAGUGUGGAGACUGUGAAUGAUGGGCAGUUUCACAGCGUGGAGCUGGUGAUGCUAAACCAGACCUUGAACCUGGUGGUAGACAAAGGAGCCCCGAAGAGCCUGGGGAAGCUCCAGAAGCAGCCCGCCGUGGGCAUCAACAGCCCCCUCUACCUUGGAGGCAUCCCCACCUCCAGCGGCCUCUCGGCCUUGCGCCAGGGCGCAGACCGACCGCUGGGUGGCUUCCACGGCUGCAUCCACGAGGUGCGCAUCAACAACGAGCUGCAGGACUUCAAGGCCCUCCCGCCACAGUCCCCAGGGGUCUCGCCAGGCUGCAAGUCCUGCACCGUGUGCCGGCACGGCCUGUGCCGCUCCGUGGAGAAGGACAGCAUGGUGUGUGAGUGCCACCCGGGCUGGACCGGCCCGCUGUGCGACCAGGAAGCCCGGGACCCCUGCCUCGGCCACAGCUGCAACCAUGGAAAAUGUGUGGCGACUGGAAGCUCGUACGUGUGCAAGUGUGCCGAGGGCUAUGGAGGGGCUCUGUGUGACCACAAGAACGACUCCGCCAAUGCCUGCUCAGCCUUCAAGUGCCACCACGGGCAGUGCCACAUCUCAGACCAAGGGCAGCCCCGCUGCCUGUGCCAGCCGGGCUUCAGUGGGGAGCACUGUGAGCAAGAGAGCCCAUGCCGGGGGGAGGUGGUGCGAGAGGCCAUCCGCCGCCAGAAAGGCUACGCGUCCUGUGCCACGGCCUCCAAGGUGCCGGUCAUGGAGUGUCGCGGGGGCUGCGGGGCGCAGUGCUGCCGGCCCACGCGCAGCAAGCGGCGGAAAUACGUCUUCCAGUGCGCGGACGGCUCCUCGUUCGUGGAGGAGGUGGAGAGACACCUGGAGUGCGGCUGCCACGCGUGCUCCUGAGCCCGCCGCCUGGGACUCCAGCUCCGCGGGGUGGGGACCGCCGGGCCGAGAUGGGAACGGAGGACAGGAAGGAAGCAAAAGAAGAAGAGAGUAUUAAGUAUAUUGUAAAAUAAACAAAAAAAAAUAGAACUUAUUUUUAUUAUGGAAAGUGACUAUUUUCAUCUUUUAUUAUAUAAAUAUAUCGCACCGUCUGAGUCCAUGGACUAUAUCGUCGUGAGUUAUUUUCACCGAGGAUAAGAAUAAAGACGGAGAACCUGCCCAGCGAGGAAGAGGAGGAAGCCCUUGUUUGCCAAGCGCCCCUGCCCGCAGAACCGGCCCUGCUUCGGUGCUCAGGAACUGCCAGAGGAAGAGAGGGAGACCGCUUGUUCUUUGUCUCUUGUUUUUAACUCCUUCUUCUCUCUUCCCUAAACGCACGCAGCUUUUAAGGGCCCCAGCUGUCUCUGCCCAGGAUGCCCAUCUCUUCCAGAGAAAGCUUCUCGAGGCUUGCUGAAGCUCAAAACCAUUGCUGCCCAUCUGCCCUGGGGCCCUGCAGGGUCUGAGCCCACAGGAGACCUCUUUUCUCCUUCCUGGAUGGCCCUGGUUUCCCUGAGGGGACUGGCCCUCUGAACUUUGCCCAGCACUUAAUCUGGGUCUGUUUUCCAAAUUUUGAAACAGCUGCUCUUCUCCUGCCCCUCCUGGGUCCUCCGGGGUGAGGCCAGGGAAGAGGGCCUGGCAGUCUCCCAGGUACCAGGCACUCAGAGAGCGCCCAUCCUCCACCCCAGCCAGUUCCACCCAGGAGAGGAGAGAGUGAGGGCUUCUGGCACAAGGAAGGCCACAGCCAGGCUGCCCAGAGCCCACAGAUGUCCAGCCGACAGGCCUCUGAUGCCUGGUCCUCCUGGUCCUGUCAUGGUGACAAAGACUCACUGUCUAGCUGCUGCACUUUCCAGAGCAUAUCCAAACAACUUCAUCUACCAACCCCGCUCUCCAGGGCGGGAAGAGCAGUGAGCACAUUUCGUAGACGGGACCCUCGUCCCACCCAGGCUCUGUAAGUUGCCGUCAGUCAACCAUCUGGCAAGUGGGGAUCCAGAGCUGGAGUGCAGCCUGGAAGCUCUAGACUCUUCUCCGGAGCAGGUAAAUAGGAGAUUCAGGCAGAGUUCAUCCGGAAAGGAAAGUGAAUGCUUUUCCCUGCUUUUUCUUUCCGGCCCUUGUUCUGCCUUGUUCAUUCCUGAGUCUGUUUUCCUUUUAUCCAGAAGAACUGUAGAGACAGAGUCUUGUGUAUUCAGGAAACAUGAGCAAAGGGAGCUCGUUGGGCCUGACUGUUCCUACAGGGCCUUCCCGCACCCGCCCUCCCCUGCCCCGCAUCCAGUGCACAUCCCCUGGAUCCCCACUGUUCCCACCAACCCCUGGCUCCUGGCCUAGGAGCCUCCACUGCUGGAGCUUCAGGAAGCAGAACUUGGGACCUUCCAGCUCGAGGUCCCCAGUGGAGCCACGUGGCUCUGUGAGGAUGCGUGGUCAGUCAGAGACUGAAGGAAUAAGAAGGGAGGGAGGCAAGGAAGAUGGAGGGACGAGGCAUGUGGAAGACAGGAUGAGCCAGGGAGAGAUGGAGGCACUUUCUCAAAGUGUGCACAGGCACUGUGUCCCGGGUGCUGCCUCGGGCUGGGCUUGCUUCCCAUGCUCAUAGCUCACAGUUAGAUUUACUUAGUGCUCACAGUGUUAUACACCAGAUAUCAUUCUAGUUGCUAUAUAUUUAUACAUAUAUUCAUCUAAUUCUCUAAACGACCCUUUAAUAAAAAUGUUAUUAACCCACCUACCAGUUGAAUAAACUGAGACAGAGAAGUUAAGGAACUUGUCCAAGAGAAGAUGGUUAAUGAAUUGCACAGCCAGGAUUUGAACCCAGGUUGUUAGACCGCAGAACACACCCACCUAAGCAUGACACUUCUUGUGGGAAAGAGUGUGUUCUACCCUUAAGGAGCCUCUGGUCGGGGACAGAAGCAAUUCCCUUAUUAUAUGUAACGGUUCCCUAAUGGCAGUAUAAAGAAGAGAGGUGGCUGUCCAGGACAGGGAAUUUCCAAUCCUGGGUCUUGGAGGAACCAGGGUCAGGAAAGGGAGUUAAACUUGCCUGGCAAUGGUUUAUCCAACAGCAGGGGAAUGUGGGAAGUCCUGGCGCAUUCGGGAGCAGAGGGGAGCAGAGAGACGGCUGGAGGUAGUCAGGGGUUCAACCACAAGGAGCGCAUGUGCCAGGCCACAGAGAGCUAGAGGGUUGCCUGGGCAAGGGAACGGCGAAACAAGGUCUGACUUAGGGACAGAGCUGGUGGCAAAGCAGAGAAAGGCCUCUAUCACCAAAAUGGCCUCAGGGGACCUAGUUGUUCACUUCAAGGUAGAAAACAUUAAUUUCAAAAAGGAGCCCAGAAGUCUUUAGGUAGCACAGAAGCUCAGUCCUAGAAGAGGUGUCCUGGGAUCUGCCCACACUAUCCCAUCCCCCAAGCCCCUCUGGACACCCCCAACCUGCAGGUGGACCCGUCCUUCACUCCAGGACACCCCUAGCUAGCCUCUCCCCACCCAGCAGGAAGUCCACUCAGCCUGCCACUCAAGAGCCCCACCCAGGGCCCCUGGUCUUCUGGAAGGACUCACCAGGCUACUGGCUUUCCCUCUGCUUCCCCAAGGAUUCCAGGCCUCCCUCUUCCUAUCAGCCCCUCCGCUCAACAAAAGAGCCAGGUCCGUCUCUCAGGGUGGUGUUGGUGGGAAGGGGUGGAGUUUUGAUCCUCCCCCUUAGUUUUGGAAGCCCUGACUUUAAGAAAUACCAAAUGCAAGGACUGAAAAAAAAUCCUUCUUAAAUGAAGUUUCUCUAACAAAUGAAAUUUAAAACUCACUCUCCCCUUGAACAGCCAAAUUCUAGGAGCAGAAAGUCGCAUGAGACAGGGAGAGUUUGGUCAGUUAAUUUGCACCUGAAAGUGCUCUCUAAUGUUUGUGUGGGGCCACACGUGCACAGAAGGGACCACUCAGCUCAGGAAAGGGGAGGAGAGGGUCCUUCUGGACUUACCCAAGGGGCCCUGAAAUGGCUGAUGAAAUGAUGUAUUUGAAAGCUCUGUAAAAUAUAAACUUAAAACCUUAAAUGUAAGAUGUUGUUAUUAUUACUGUUGUUGUUGUUACUGACGUGCCAAAAGGCCUUUGUAGAAGAUAACGUGGCCUUUCAACCUCACUUUGUGACUAGAAAGCACUAAUUUCAAGAUGGAGCCCAGAAAUCCGUAUGGUAGCUCAGAAGCUCAGCUCUGGAGGGAGCGUGGUGUUUCAGAAAGAGGAAGAGAGGGGCGAAAAAGAAAGGAGAUUUCCCAGAACCAGAGAAAGAGAGGGCAGGAGCCUUCAGGUGACACCCAGAACCCAGGAAUGGUCAGGACUGGCAUGGAGCCAAACUGGCCCUUCACCUGAGAUGAAACUCUCACCAGACUGAACCUAAGGCCAAGCAGUCAGCCACUGCCUCUGCAGGAAGCAGAAGCCCAUGGCAGCAAGUGACCUGCCCCCCUAAAGACUCACGGGACCCCAGUACCAGAGCUGGACCCUUGGGUUUGCUGGGAGAGGGAAGACUAAGGAUCAGAGAAAUGAAAGGAGUAGAGACCGCAGGGCAGACCAAGGUCAUAUGACUAAUGAACACCAGAGUCAGAAAGAGAGCCAGGUGUCACCCGGGCACGGUUCUCUCUGUCACAGCAGAGUGGAGGUCCAGGCAGAGGGAAGCCUAGGACAGAUCCGGUAGCACAGCGGCGUCCGGCGCCUUCCCUGAUGCCACCUCCUGGUGCACUCCCAGAUGGUCAGGAAGCUGGGCACAGUCCGCUUUGGUGGCACGUCUUCUAGUGUGGCUUAAACAGUGCCAAAGGCAGCACCCCAGAAGGUCUAGCAGGAGCAGGAAAAGUGGGCGUUUGGCCAAGCAGAUUUCUCCAGCUCGCCACGGGUUCUAAUAGAAAAAGUUUUAACACUUUUAAAAAAUGAUGUCACAGCGUGGUUCCCCUGUGUGGGGUAAAUAACAUGCUUUCCUUUUCCCCACAGACUGUCAUUUUCUGAUGUCAUUGAAAUAAAUGGAUGAGUCACAGAGAAGCUACCAGAUGCUCUCGUGAACCCCCAACUCAG
This is an RNA transcript of Sciurus carolinensis (gray squirrel), 9104 nucleotides long. It is a transcript of the gene named slit guidance ligand 3, with no coding region annotated. The record is from RefSeq and is a predicted model, not a curated record. Lineage: Eukaryota; Metazoa; Chordata; Mammalia; Rodentia; Sciuridae. The transcript has 37 exons.